RNAcentral lists this ribosomal RNA (485 nucleotides) under uncultured bacterium. RNAcentral describes it as "partial 16S ribosomal RNA". It matches the Rfam family "Bacterial small subunit ribosomal RNA", at positions 29 to 523 of the family's 1533-position model. The record is from RNAcentral.
AGUGAACGCUGGCGGCGUGCUUAACACAUGCAAGUCGAACGAGGACGGAAUAUAGCUUGCUAUAUUUGUCAGCUAAGUGGCGCACGGGUGAGUAAUGUAUAGAUAACCUGCCCUUAAGAAAGGAAUAACAGUUGGAAACGACUGCUAAUGCCCUAUAUGCCUUUAAUACAUAAGUAUGCAAGGGAAACGCUUUAGUGCUUAAGGAUGGGUCUGUAGGGUAUCAGCUUGUUGGUGAGGUAAUGGCUCACCAAGGCUAUGACGCCUAACUGGUUUGAGAGGAUGAUCAGUCACACUGGAACUGAGACACGGUCUAGACUCCUACGGGAGGCAGCAGUGGGGAAUAUUGCACAAUGGACGAAAGUCUGAUGCAGCAACGCCGCGUGGAGGAUGACACAUUUCGGUGCGUAAACUCCUUUUAUAUAGGAAGAUAAUGACGGUACUAUAUGAAUAAGCACCGGCUAACUCCGUGCCAGCAGCCGCGGUAA